UUCAAGUUCACUUACUAAUGUCUCACUUUCUUUACACGCUGCUUCUGUCUCAUACUGCUGCUCAGAUGAUUCACGGUUCAGAUAGGAAAGAGCCUGACUGCUGAAGUUGGAGCAUACUGCUAAGAGAGAGGAGACUUUGCUAUUUCACAGACACAGACUCCUUUUGCCCACACAAAGAUGUUGAAUAAAACUCAGGAAAUUGGUUAGUUUGCUAUUGACAUUCAUAAAAGAAGUAAGACUUACAGGUCGAGUUGCACUUCGAGCAAAUUGCAAUAUUCCAUGACAGUUCCUAGCAUAUACUGUCUCUCACAACAACUACCUCUGUGGGAAAAGGUUUGAACUAGAGUACAAAGGGACUAUGAGUCAGAACUAAGCAGAAAUAUUGUGUUUGUCUGGGAUAGAGUUAAUUUUCUUCAUAGUAGCUCAUAUGGUGCUAUGAUUUGGAUUUGUGUUGAAAGGAGUGUUAAUAACACACCAAUGUUCUUUUAGUUUUUGCUGAGCAGUGCUUGCACAGCAUCAAGACCUUUUCUGUUUCUCACAAUGCCCAGCCAGUGUGUAGUCUGGGGAUGCACAAGAAGCUGGGAGGGGACACAGGUAGGACAGAUGCCCCCAACUGACCAAUACGGCGUUUCACAUAUGAUGCUGUGCUCAGCAAUCGGAUGAAGAAAUAGUGAAUGAAAUCAGAUGUGAAGUAGUGAAUGAACUCCUUAUUUUGCUUUGCUUGUACACACAGCUUUUGCUUUACAAUAUUAAACUGUCUUUAUCUCAACUCUGGAGUUCUCGCACUUUUACCCUCUUGAUUCUCUUCCCCAUUCCACUAGGUGAGAGUGAGCAAGUGGCUGUGUGGUGCUUAGCUGCUUACCAGUGUUAACCCACAACACUAGAGUAAAACGCCUUUAAAAAAAUCUACUCCUCUCUCCUCUUGAAAAACAAAAACAA
Cygnus olor (mute swan) is the source of this 939-nucleotide long non-coding RNA. RefSeq lists it as uncharacterized. The transcript is spliced from 2 exons. Lineage: Eukaryota; Metazoa; Chordata; Aves; Anseriformes; Anatidae. The record is from RefSeq and is a predicted model, not a curated record.